CGGCAACAGCUCAAAUUUGAAAUCUGGUCCUUCCAGGGCCCGAGUUGUAAUUUGCAGAGGGUGCUUUGGCGUCGGCAUUGGCCUAAGUUCCUUGGAACAGGGCGUCGCAGAGGGUGAGAACCCCGUAUGUGGCCCAUUGCCUUCGCCGUGUAAAGCCCCUUCGAC
RNAcentral lists this ribosomal RNA (165 nucleotides) under Pleosporales sp. RNAcentral describes it as "partial large subunit ribosomal RNA". It matches the Rfam family "Eukaryotic large subunit ribosomal RNA", at positions 99 to 261 of the family's 3401-position model. Lineage: Eukaryota; Fungi; Ascomycota; Dothideomycetes; Pleosporales. The record is from RNAcentral.